GAUCAAGUGUCUUAAGGGCAAUUGGUGGAUGCCUUGGCAUGCACAGGCGAUGAAGGACGUGAUACGCUGCGAUAAGCUACGGGGAGGUGCGAAUACCCUUUGAUCCGUAGAUCUCCGAAUGGGGAAACCCACCUAAGGUACUUGGAAAAUCAGAGAUGCAGGGAUGCGACGAUCUCUUUGAGAUCGCGCUAUUUGCAUCUGUGGUUUCCAAGUAUCGCUAAUAGGUAACUUAUCCUGAAUACAUAGGGAUAAAGUGGCGAACGCGGGGAACUGAAACAUCUAAGUACCCGUAGGAAAGGACAUCAACCGAGACUCCGGAAGUAGUGGCGAGCGAACCCGGACCAGGC
RNAcentral lists this ribosomal RNA (347 nucleotides) under bacterium M00.F.Ca.ET.156.01.1.1. RNAcentral's name for it is "partial 23S ribosomal RNA". It matches the Rfam family "Bacterial large subunit ribosomal RNA", at positions 1 to 269 of the family's 2925-position model. The record is from RNAcentral.